This is a small nucleolar RNA of Cercocebus atys (sooty mangabey), 181 nucleotides long. Its record names the gene U3. It matches the Rfam family "Small nucleolar RNA U3". Rfam says of the family: Small nucleolar RNAs (snoRNAs) are involved in the processing and modification of rRNA in the nucleolus. There are two main classes of snoRNAs: the box C/D class, and the box H/ACA class. U3 snoRNA is a member of the box C/D class. The record is from Ensembl. Lineage: Eukaryota; Metazoa; Chordata; Mammalia; Primates; Cercopithecidae.
UAGGCGGCUUUCAGGGAUCAUUUCUGUAGUUGGUUACUAGAGAACUUUCUGUGAAAGUGUAGAGCCCCGGAAACGACAGGAGGUGCAGUUUUCUCCUGAAUGUGAAGCCUGUGUUGCUAUCACCAUUGAUGUUUCUUCUCCUCCGGGGGGAGUGAGAGGGAGAGGACACAGGCUGAGUGGU